CACAACGGUGAUUUUGGAAGAACCUGGUUAGGGAAGAGUAAAGCACGAUUAUUUUUGUCUACUUUGUUAAGAACUGAGAGUUCUGAAAAGUCUGGAUUGCACUAUGAAAAGUUUGCGUGCUUAGUGAAAUGUUGUCCAGUUGGCCAAUCCACUUGGUCUUGGGAAAUGUCCUAGAAGAUUGGCAAGAAAAUGUUCUCAAGAGAGCACAAGUGCUGCCAAUUUCCAAUUGACCAAGACACAUUACAAGGACAACCUUCUCUCGGAGCAACCUGGCAUUUCCACUCCAAUUGGAAUCUGCAACAAAAAGAUGCAUGCGGGAGAAAGACUAAAUAAACAAACCUUUCAGAUUUCCGCUCCAGUGUUGCAGGCGUUGUGUUGAUGUUGCAGCUACAGCGGGUUUGAUUUCUGGCCUUCGGGGAUCUCACAUACAGAGACUGAAGCAGGAAAAUAUGACGACAUGUGAUCCACUGGAACAGAGGCUCCGUGAAUUCAUGCUGGUGCUUUUCUUUGGUUCUGCUCACUGCUGUAUCACAAACCCUUGGAACAACGGCUGCACACAGUAAAGACAUAGAAAAUCUUCUGAUGCAUAGAGCUGUUUUGACUGCCUGAUGAUUUAGACAAUUACAAAGAACACGGACUUUGGAGUCACCUAGAACUUAGUCUGAAUGCUGCUCUGUUAUUUGCUACUUGUAUAAUCAUUGGCAAGAUAUUGAUCUGAGUGUGAGUUUCCUCAUCUAUAAAAUGGAGUUCUUCAACUACUAAAGUUCCGAUUGACAGAUUUGAAGUACCAUGAUAUCGUCAAGAAAAUCUGAAUCCGGAAAUCAAAUUAUUUUAAGCCAAGCAUAAGUGUAUUUCAUUCUCUUUCUUUGGAAAUUGGCGAUCUGGUUAUGGUCAUGACCACUGGUUAUGGUAGGGAACUAUAUCAAAUAUUCCCGAGCUGGAAACAAUGAUUAAAAGCACCCUUUUUAUUUGAUUCUGAAAAACAAAAGAAUGUAAGCUGUUCCCAAAAGAAAAAGAAAAAAAAAAAUCAACCCCGUACCGGGCCUCCCAACCCAGAGGCAGUGAACGGAACAGAUACGACGACGAGGAGACCCUGGGCGCCAGCUGUGAGCACCUUGAGCAGGUUCAUCCCGGCUGGGUCCACACCUCGGUGAUGAAUUAGUUAACAGUCUACAUAAUCUUCACGCGUUGCAGCUAAGAUUUCAGGUAUUUUCCCAGAAGAAAUUGAGAAGAGAUGGAGUCCUUGGUUGGUGCUGGAUAACUUGAUAUAGGAUUACAAAUAUUUAGGGCUGUUUUCCAUAAAGAGCUCUGGUGGCCCUCUUGUGACUCUCUCAAAAGAGGUUGAAGUCCUGGAGUGGAGUGAAGAGCCUCUCACCUCAGCUGGAAGGAGGACUACUCCAUUUUCACCCGUUUAAUGUCUGGCUUUCCUUGUCGAAUCUGAUUUGAAGGUAAGAGUCUGCUUCUCUAAAAAGUUUGAGAGCCUUUGGUCUAGUCCAUCCAAUUUCUCAUGGUAUUAAAUACACCUUCACUAGCCUCUCACCUUCCCCUUCAUCAAGGUCUUUCCUCCCUUCCUUGCAAACCUCCCUUAAGGCAUGCUUCUUGUGGAACUGCCACGGACUGAACUGUGUUCUCCCACAAUCCACAUGUUGAGGCCCAAUGCUCGCUUACCCAAUGUCACUGAAUGUGGAGAUAGAGUUUUUAGGAGGUAAGUAAGAUGAAAUGAAAUCAUAAGCAUAAGGCCCUGAUUCAAUAGGAUGAGUGCCCUGAUUAGGAGCGAUACCAGAGAGCUUCUCUCUUUCCGCAGGAGUACACACUUCAAAAGGCUACAUGGGGACAUAGCACGAGGCAGCUAUCGACAAGGCAGGAAAAGUGUUCUCACCAGAAAUGGAACCACCUAGAUCUUGAACUUCUAGCCUCCAGAACUGUGAGAAAAUAAACUUUUGUGGCUUAAGCUCCCCCCCCCCCCAGUCUAUAGUAUUUUGUGACAGCAGCCCAUGCCAACGAAGACAGAAUGCUAACCUCUGCCACUUGAGGGACAGAAGUUUCUCUUUAAAUCACUUCCUAGGCAUAGGUUUUUCCCUAGAGCAAUGAGUUCAAUAUGAGGAACUGAAAUGGAAACGAAAUGCGUUGUAUAACUAACUUUGAACCACCACUGCUGUGGGUGUGUGUGCCCGUCUUGCUGGUGUGCCCAAGGUUGAGUUAGGAGGUAGCUGUGGAAUAUGAACUCUGUAGAUGUAAAUAGCCACACAAAAACUAUGAUGCGUGUGCUCUGUGCACAUUAGCUCCUCUAGGAACUUAAGCUCCGGAGAGCAGUCUUGUGCACUCAUCAGCACAUUAUGGGAAUGUAAGAAAAAAAAAAAAAAUCAGAAAUAACAAAAUCACUAAGAGGUAGGUAGCCAAAUGUUAUUAUUAUCAUUUUAUAGAGGAAUAGCCAAAAGGUCAAGUAGCUUGUUCAAAGUGACACAGAAUAGGAGAGUCGAGCCCCGGAAUUAUUAACUUCUGUUUUCUAAUCUAGUGAACCUGAGGUUAUAGAAUCCGACUAGGAAGGUCAAAGCUAUCAGUUUUAUGUCACACGGUAGUUAUGAGGUGCUACACGCAUCGCUCCUGUUCUUUUGUCCCCUCACUGGGGAGCUGCUUGAUGACUGCAGCUGCAGCAACUUCCCCCACCCUGGGAAACCUGAACCUGAAGCCAGACACUGUAUGAAAAGUCAGUACCUCUGACUGACUGUGGAUUUCAACUCUCCGGUUCUCUAGGCCGUUCAAUAGUGGCAUCUAAUCAGAAUCCCUUUUGCUCAAUCUGUGUUUCCUUUGUUGGGAAAAGGCCUGGUGAUCUCUUGAGAAGAGUCCAGGGGCUUCUGGUGGUGAGCGCCGGCGAAACCUGUUCCAAGACUAAAUAUCGGAAGCAGUCAGCCUGGCCACUGAAGGCAGGACCGGUUUCCCACGCUCUGCCGCCAGCCCACAGCUUCUGAAAUACUGUGUUCUCGGUUAGGUCUCCAUUUGAUAAAAGAGACUUGAUGAAAGGAUGCCUCCUGAAAAGGCUUUGUAAUAAUUAAUCAGUCAUCACCUUCUUUUGCCUCCCCAAGGUUUUGGCACUGUUGAUCAGGCCUUCCUGCAAAUUCUCUCUCUCUCUCUCUCUCUCUCUCUCCCCCUUUUUGGCUCAGGGACAAUAGGCUGACUUCUACAAUAGCCACUCCUGUCCUUUGUUUACUUCUGUUUGAUACCCUUCCUCCCCAGAUGUGGAGGGGAUUCUUCAAAUUCAGGGCUCUGUGAAAAUUACCAGCUGCUACUGAGGACAACAGGACUCACCUCCUGAAAUCAAAACUUCAUGCCGUGCUGCUAUGAAGUUAAAUCAGGCAGAAUCCAUACAACAAAAUGCAAAGAAUGGUAUAUUUGGAACUAUCUGAAACAAUGUGGGUCAAGCACAGCUUUGAAUGAAGACAGAAGAGCACUGUUUUUUCCCCAGUUAAGUUUAAAAAGAUUUAUUUCUCAGCUAUGUUCAACUCUGCUAGAUACUGCAGGGGAUAUAAAAGCCAGGCUUAGGGAGUGACGACAGAGGUCAACAAUUUUGAGCAUUUACCGUCUGCAGAGCACUGCGAAAGAGAUAAAGAAGCAAAACACAAAAAUAUACAAGAAAUAUUUAUAGUUAAAAUGAAGCUAUACAUGAUUGCAUAUUCAGUGAAUGGUACAAAGGAUCAGAGAUGUGGUUAUUCUGAGUGAGGAGGGAAUAUUGUAGGAUGGAAGAUGACCCAAGAAGGCACACCUGGAAUAAUCUUUCCAAAAUGCCCAUCUGAUGGUAUCAGCCUGUCCCACCCCAUUAAAAAUUCAUCCUGGGAAUCAGGGAUUUUUCCAGCUCUACUUCUGCAGCCUCAUCUCUUGGGCUCUCUGUCUAGAAUUUAAGGCUCCUGCCAUACUAAAAAUUGACCUGUUUCUCAAACAUUCUAAUUUGUACACCUCAGAACUUUUACUUAGGCUUUCCUUCUGCCUGGGGUGUUUAAAAAAUUUCUCUUGUCUUGCUAAUUCUUACAAAUUCUGAGAUAUGCCCUGGGUUCCAUAUCUGGGUUAGGUGCUUUCUUGUCCUAUUAAUUUAACUGCAAUGACCGUAGCUUCUUCCUUGUGUUACUCUAUCACGAGGCUCUGGUCACUGAGAGGUCAGAAGCUUACCAGCUGCAUCACAGUCCAUCUGAGGACAGGGACUGAGGUCCGGCAGAGCUUUGAGGUCACCAUAGGGUUCUCACAGCCCAAAAGGAGCAGGCAAGUGCUGGAACAAGGCUGGGAAUGACUAUCAUUUUCCCAGCACCCUCCUUAGCCCUGUGAUGGGAACCCUAAAGCCAUGACCUCUUCCUAUCUUUCUGUGAACUCUGCGAAGUUAUUAUUUUAUCCCCAUCUUAGAGAAGAAGAAACUGAGGAUCAGAAGGUUUAACUUUCUAAUUUGAGGUGACGUAGCUGGUCAGUUGUAAAACUGGAAUUUAAAUCAGGUCUGUAGGCCCUAUGGGUUUGUUGGGGAAAUGUUUAUUUAUAUAUUUAAAUUUUUUUCAUCAUAUUGAUAAUUUGAAAAUUUAAGUCAGUGUGAUACUAAGCCCUUGGCAUGGAUAUACACACAAACACCAGAGAGGAGGUGCCAUAAUUAGGCUUGUCUCCCAGAGAAGGAGACUGAGGCUCAGAAAAUUUGACCAGGCCAAAGCCACCCCAGUAGCAGAGGGAGGGUGCAUAGGGCGUGAACCCCGGGCUGCAGGCUCUAGAGUUGGGUUAAUCAUCCAGGCUCUCAGGUUCGCUGCCUGGAUUCCUGUCCUGCCUUUUACGAGUCAUACAACUCUGGGUAAGUGACUUCACCUCUCUGAUCCUCUUUGUCCUCAUUUGUGGUUUUGAGGACUCAGUAUAAAAUCCUUAGGGCAGAGUCUGAUGUAGAGUAAAUAAUAAAGGUUAGCAUUUAUACCCUUCUUAUUAGUUAUUAUUAUUAUUGCUAAAGGUCUCAUUUCAUCAAAGAUCAAAUAUUUUCUUCUCUCUUUGAUAUAGCACAAUAUUUUUUUGGCAUCUUUAUUAUCUAAGAAAUUUUUUAGUCAAAAUUUUAUGAAGAAUGUUUCAAGGAAUCAGAAUUUGCAACAAUCAUUACUCGAUUUUGUGAUGAAUUGUUUUCCAAAUGAAAUUUCAGAGGCCAUGAAUUUUGACAGUUGAGGUGGUGGGAGAGAAAUAUGCCUUUUUCAAUUAGGAAUGUAUUAACGGGUUUACACGAAGCCUUGGAGAAAAAUCUAGACAGCAGCUGCAGGGGUAAGGAACUAAGUAAAGGCCCAUGUCUGGCUUCCUUCACAAUUGAAUUUUUGCAUACGUGUUGCUGGAACUAUUCAGCGGUCUUCAUCAUCUUGUCUGUAACAAUUUGAGCAUUGGCCUCCCCUAAUUCUUGAUUUGACUUAAUGAGACGGGUUUGGAAUUUUCCUGCUUGGUCUUGGAGCUGUGUGUACCACAUCAAUACAAACCAGGUAAGUAGAAAAGUCUCAGUUCAAAAACAGCCUCUACCUAACGUACCUAUCAGUAAGCAAAUAUCAUAGUCUCAGCUGAAUUUUACCUUUGUUUUAAUGAAAGAUAUUAAAAUCUGUUAUCUUACUAAUUGGUGAAACCUCCUGAAUUUCGUGUCAUUAAAAGAUUAUGGGACUGAGACCCAGAAGACGUUUCAUCUUAUUUCUAAUACCGAACAGCAGUAGAAAUACCCUCACGUUUCUGGGCUUUCUUCUUCUCGUAUACAGAAUGAGUGACAUGGACGGGAUUAGGGGCCAGCCAACAACAGCCUUGGGUCAAAUCCAGACCACACCUGCUCUGUACAGAUUGCCACAGAGCUCAUUUGUGUAGGCAGUUUCCGUGGCUCCUUUCCUGAUGCAACAGCAGAGCUGAGUAAUUGCGACACAGAGCCUGAAAUUUUGGGGAUCUGGUCCUUUACAGAAAGUUUGCUGAGCCCUGAAUUUGAUUAUCUCUAAGAUCAUUUCAAGCUUUAAGUUAGAAACACAGCUCCACUAUUUAUCAGUGGAGUGACCUUGAACAAAUCGCUUAACCUUUCUGGGUCUCUGUUCCUGCAAGGGUACAAGAGGAAAGAUAAUAAAAGAAAUG
Molecule: long non-coding RNA, 6096 nt
Organism: Mustela erminea (ermine)
Lineage: Eukaryota; Metazoa; Chordata; Mammalia; Carnivora; Mustelidae
Exons: 7
Source: RefSeq, a predicted model, not a curated record